UGGGCUGUAUCUCAGUGGUAGAGAGCUUGCCUAGCAUGCGUGAGGCACUGGGUUCGAUCCCCGUCAUCACAU
RNAcentral lists this transfer RNA (72 nucleotides) under Marmota marmota marmota (Alpine marmot). It matches the Rfam family "tRNA". Rfam says of the family: Transfer RNA (tRNA) molecules are approximately 80 nucleotides in length. Lineage: Eukaryota; Metazoa; Chordata; Mammalia; Rodentia; Sciuridae. RNAcentral also lists the same sequence under 1 other name. The record is from Rfam by way of RNAcentral.